Molecule: non-coding RNA, 538 nt
Organism: Cinara cedri
Lineage: Eukaryota; Metazoa; Arthropoda; Insecta; Hemiptera; Aphididae
Source: the annotation of a GenBank genome assembly
GCGGUCCUCAAACUGUGGUACACGAUAGACAACAUGGUGGUACGCAGAAGGCCGCAUGGUAACAGUACAGAAAAUAAAUUAAUCAAUAUUCUUACAAAUAUUUUUUAAUGGAUCUAAUACUUUAUUUUAUAUUCAAGUAUUAUACUGUCUUAUACUCUUAUCGUUUUGAAAUAAAUGUAAAAACAUUAUGAAUUGUUCAAUUUUUAGUUUUACGUGGUACAUGACAGAUCCAUAAUACAUAUGUGUGGUACACAAAAUUAAAAAUUUGAGAACCUCUGCUUUAGGGUUUUUAGAUUUUGAAUUUAAAUAGAGUUUUAAACUCAAAAUGCAUAGAAUUUGUUGUCAGACCAAGUACCUACAUAAUAUGCAUAUUGACCAAUGUACAUAUUUACAUACCUAAUUAAUAGUCAUUUUUUGUACCUUGUUUUCUCUCAUUAAUCUUUGGUAUAUUUUCAUUGAGUCACACAUCUAUAAUUUGUAUUGUUCAUUUAAUUGUGGAAAAUCGAUUAUGAAUCAAUUUAGCUAGUACCAAGCUAAU